This 253-nucleotide ribosomal RNA is filed under the name uncultured bacterium. RNAcentral describes it as "partial 16S ribosomal RNA". It matches the Rfam family "Bacterial small subunit ribosomal RNA", at positions 524 to 776 of the family's 1533-position model. The record is from RNAcentral.
UACAGAGGGUGCAAGCGUUUAAUCGGAUUUACUGGGCGUAAAGCGCGCGUAGGCGGCUAAUUAAGUCAAAUGUGAAAUCCCCGAGCUUAACUUGGGAAUUGCAUUCGAUACUGGUUAGCUAGAGUGUGGGAGAGGAUGGUAGAAUUCCAGGUGUAGCGGUGAAAUGCGUAGAGAUCUGGAGGAAUACCGAUGGCGAAGGCAGCCAUCUGGCCUAACACUGACGCUGAGAGCGAAAGCGUGGGGAGCGAACAGG